RNAcentral lists this small RNA (508 nucleotides) under uncultured Entrophospora. RNAcentral describes it as "SSU rRNA". It matches the Rfam family "Eukaryotic small subunit ribosomal RNA", at positions 569 to 1078 of the family's 1831-position model. Lineage: Eukaryota; Fungi; Glomeromycota; Glomeromycetes; Entrophosporales; Entrophosporaceae. The record is from RNAcentral.
AGCAGCCGCGGUAAUUCCAGCUCCAAUAGCGUAUAUUAAAGUUGUUGCAGUUAAAAAGCUCGUAGUUGAAUUUCGGGAUCAAUUGAUUGGUCAUGCCUACGGUAUGUACUAGUCAUAUUGGUUCUCACCUUCUAAUGAACCUUAAUGUCAUUCACUUGAUGUUUUGGGGAAUUAGGACUGUUACCUUGAAAAAAUUAGAGUGUUUAAAGCAGGCUUACGCUUGAAUACAUUAGCAUGGAAUAAUGAAAUAGGACAUCGCAUUCUAUUUUGUUGGUUUCUAGGAUCGAUGUAAUGAUUAAUAGGGAUAGUUGGGGGCAUUAGUAUUCAAUUGUCAGAGGUGAAAUUCUUGGAUUUAUUGAAGACUAACUACUGCGAAAGCAUUUGCCAAGGAUGUUUUCAUUAAUCGAGAACGAAAGUUAGGGGAUCGAAGACGAUCAGAUACCGUCGUAGUCUUAACCAUAAACUAUGCCGACUAGGGAUCGGAUGAUGUUAAUUUUUAAAUGACUCU